Molecule: non-coding RNA, 153 nt
Organism: Ceratotherium simum simum (southern white rhinoceros)
Lineage: Eukaryota; Metazoa; Chordata; Mammalia; Perissodactyla; Rhinocerotidae
Source: RefSeq, a predicted model, not a curated record
CAGGAGAAAAGGAGGGAGAGAGCUGGAACUAUAUAUAAUGACUUGUAGGAAUUUCCAAAGUGUAUUGCCACGUGAAGAGAAGUUGAAGGUGACAUAUAAAGAGGCUCAUUCUAUUUGUGUAGAAACAACAAAUCCCCCAUACUCUUAUAUAUA